RNAcentral lists this ribosomal RNA (2926 nucleotides) under Staphylococcus caprae. RNAcentral's name for it is "23S ribosomal RNA". It matches the Rfam family "Bacterial large subunit ribosomal RNA". The record is from RNAcentral. Lineage: Bacteria; Bacillati; Bacillota; Bacilli; Caryophanales; Staphylococcaceae.
AGAUUAAGUUAUUAAGGGCGCACGGUGGAUGCCUUGGCACUAGAAGCCGAAGAAGGACGUUACUAACGACGAUAUGCUUUGGGUAGCUGUAAGUAAGCGUUGAUCCAGAGAUUUCCGAAUGGGGGAACCCAACAUGAGUGAUGUCAUGUUAUCGACAUGUGAAUUCAUAGCAUGUCAGAAGGCAGACCCGGAGAACUGAAACAUCUUAGUACCCGGAGGAAGAGAAAGAAAAAUCGAUUCCCUGAGUAGCGGCGAGCGAAACGGGAAGAGCCCAAACCAACAAGCUUGCUUGUUGGGGUUGUAGGACACUCUAUACGGAGUUACAAAAGAACAUGUUAGACGAAUCAUCUGGAAAGAUGAAUCAAAGAAGGUAAAAAUCCUGUAGUCGAAAACAUAUUCUCUCUUGAGUGGAUCCUGAGUACGACGGAGCACGUGAAAUUCCGUCGGAAUCUAGGAGGACCAUCUCCUAAGGCUAAAUACUCUCUAGUGACCGAUAGUGAACCAGUACCGUGAGGGAAAGGUGAAAAGUACCCCGGAAGGGGAGUGAAAGAGAACUUGAAACCGUGUGCUUACAAGUAGUCAGAGCCCGUUAAUGGGUGAUGGCGUGCCUUUUGUAGAAUGAACCGGCGAGUUACGAUCUGAUGCAAGGUUAAGCAGCGAAUGUGGAGCCGUAGCGAAAGCGAGUCUGAAUAGGGCGUUGAGUAUUUGGUCGUAGACCCGAAACCAGGUGAUCUACCCUUGGUCAGGUUGAAGUUCAGGUAACACUGAAUGGAGGACCGAACCGACUUACGUUGAAAAGUGAGCGGAUGAACUGAGGGUAGCGGAGAAAUUCCAAUCGAACUUGGAGAUAGCUGGUUCUCUCCGAAAUAGCUUUAGGGCUAGCCUCAAGUGAUGAUUAUUGGAGGUAGAGCACUGUUUGGACGAGGGGCCCCUCUCGGGUUACCGAAUUCAGACAAACUCCGAAUGCCAAUCAAUUUAACUUGGGAGUCAGAACAUGGGUGAUAAGGUCCGUGUUCGAAAGGGAAACAGCCCAGACCACCAGCUAAGGUCCCAAAAUAUAUGUUAAGUGGAAAAGGAUGUGGCGUUGCCCAGACAACUAGGAUGUUGGCUUAGAAGCAGCCAUCAUUUAAAGAGUGCGUAAUAGCUCACUAGUCGAGUGACACUGCGCCGAAAAUGUACCGGGGCUAAACAUAUUACCGAAGCUGUGGAUUGUCCGUAGGACAAUGGUAGGAGAGCGUUCUAAGGGCGUUGAAGCAUGAUCGCAAGGACAUGUGGAGCGCUUAGAAGUGAGAAUGCCGGUGUGAGUAGCGAAAGACGGGUGAGAAUCCCGUCCACCGAUUGACUAAGGUUUCCAGAGGAAGGCUCGUCCGCUCUGGGUUAGUCGGGUCCUAAGCUGAGGCCGACAGGCGUAGGCGAUGGAUAACAGGUUGAUAUUCCUGUACCACCUAGUAUCGUUUUAAUCGAUGGGGGGACGCAGUAGGAUAGGCGAAGCGUGCUGUUGGAGUGCACGUCCAAGCAGUAAGGCUGAGUGUUAGGCAAAUCCGGCACUCGUAAGGCUGAGCUGUGAUGGGGAGAGGAAAUUGUUUCCUCGAGUCGUUGAUUUCACACUGCCGAGAAAAGCCUCUAGAUAGAUAACAGGUGCCCGUACCGCAAACCGACACAGGUAGUCAAGAUGAGAAUUCUAAGGUGAGCGAGCGAACUCUCGUUAAGGAACUCGGCAAAAUGACCCCGUAACUUCGGGAGAAGGGGUGCUCUUUAGGGUUCACGCCCAGAAGAGCCGCAGUGAAUAGGCCCAAGCGACUGUUUAUCAAAAACACAGGUCUCUGCUAAACCGUAAGGUGAUGUAUAGGGGCUGACGCCUGCCCGGUGCUGGAAGGUUAAGAGGAGUGGUUAGCUUCUGCGAAGCUACGAAUCGAAGCCCCAGUAAACGGCGGCCGUAACUAUAACGGUCCUAAGGUAGCGAAAUUCCUUGUCGGGUAAGUUCCGACCCGCACGAAAGGCGUAACGAUUUGGGCACUGUCUCAACGAGAGACUCGGUGAAAUCAUAGUACCUGUGAAGAUGCAGGUUACCCGCGACAGGACGGAAAGACCCCGUGGAGCUUUACUGUAGCCUGAUAUUGAAAUUCGGCACAGCUUGUACAGGAUAGGUAGGAGCCAUUGAAACGUGAGCGCUAGCUUACGUGGAGGCGUUGGUGGGAUACUACCCUAGCUGUGUUGGCUUUCUAACCCGCACCACUUAUCGUGGUGGGAGACAGUGUCAGGCGGGCAGUUUGACUGGGGCGGUCGCCUCCUAAAAGGUAACGGAGGCGCUCAAAGGUUCCCUCAGAAUGGUUGGAAAUCAUUCACAGAGUGUAAAGGCAUAAGGGAGCUUGACUGCGAGACCUACAAGUCGAGCAGGGUCGAAAGACGGACUUAGUGAUCCGGUGGUUCCGCAUGGAAGGGCCAUCGCUCAACGGAUAAAAGCUACCCCGGGGAUAACAGGCUUAUCUCCCCCAAGAGUUCACAUCGACGGGGAGGUUUGGCACCUCGAUGUCGGCUCAUCGCAUCCUGGGGCUGUAGUCGGUCCCAAGGGUUGGGCUGUUCGCCCAUUAAAGCGGUACGCGAGCUGGGUUCAGAACGUCGUGAGACAGUUCGGUCCCUAUCCGUCGUGGGCGUAGGAAAUUUGAGAGGAGCUGUCCUUAGUACGAGAGGACCGGGAUGGACAUACCUCUGGUGUACCAGUUGUCGUGCCAACGGCAUAGCUGGGUAGCUAUGUAUGGACGGGAUAAGUGCUGAAAGCAUCUAAGCAUGAAGCCCCCCUCAAGAUGAGAUUUCCCAACUUCGGUUAUAAGAUCCCUCGAAGAUGACGAGGUUAAUAGGUUCGAGGUGGAAGCGUGGCGACACGUGGAGCUGACGAAUACUAAUCGAUCGAAGACUUAAUCAAUUU